UCACCCCUCAAGCCCCUGGCUUGGUGUUGGACGGUUUGGUGGAGACCCCUCGUGGGCUUCUACCCGUCCCAAAGACAAUGACGGCGGCCUCGUUGGACCCCCGGUACACUGAGUUCUUCACGGGACACGUAUCGGAGACAUGGGUUUACGGGACACGGUCUGCCUCCCCUUAGGGAGAAUCUUUUCAA
RNAcentral lists this unclassified non-coding RNA (188 nucleotides) under uncultured Exophiala. Its description in RNAcentral is "sequence contains ITS2". The record is from RNAcentral. Lineage: Eukaryota; Fungi; Ascomycota; Eurotiomycetes; Chaetothyriales; Herpotrichiellaceae.